CAUCUCUAUGACAACACUUCACACUGUUUUGUAAUAAUUUACAGAGUUGUCACCUCCAUCAGACAGUGAACUGAAGGAUGAGAGCAGUGCUAUAAUAAUUUUAGAAGAUCUCAGCCAUAAUUACUGCCUGCUAUACACAGUAGAAACUCAGAAAAUGAGACCCACCAGAGUGGAAGGAACAUGUCGUUUUCAUGCUCAAGUUCCUUCAGCAACUCCAUCAGAGAACAAAGCCCAAAGACAGCCUGAAAUCCAGAAAGUGUGGGUUGUAUGCCCACACCAACAGCAAGCACUGGAGUCAUCCCAGAGGAGCCACAGGGACUGA
This 322-nucleotide long non-coding RNA is filed under the name Macaca mulatta (Rhesus monkey). Its description in RNAcentral is "lncRNA (ENSMMUG00000059994.1)". The record is from RNAcentral. Lineage: Eukaryota; Metazoa; Chordata; Mammalia; Primates; Cercopithecidae.